RNAcentral lists this ribosomal RNA (468 nucleotides) under uncultured bacterium. RNAcentral's name for it is "partial 16S ribosomal RNA". It matches the Rfam family "Bacterial small subunit ribosomal RNA", at positions 28 to 507 of the family's 1533-position model. The record is from RNAcentral.
GACGAACGCUGGCGGCGUGCUUAACACAUGCAAGUCGAACGGAAAGGCCCUGCUUUUGUGGGGUGCUCGAGUGGCGAACGGGUGAGUAACACGUGAGUAACCUGCCCUUGACUUUGGGAUAACUUCAGGAAACUGGGGCUAAUACCGGAUAGGAGCUCCUGCUGCAUGGUGGGGGUUGGAAAGUUUCGGCGGUUGGGGAUGGACUCGCGGCUUAUCAGCUUGUUGGUGGGGUAGUGGCUUACCAAGGCUUUGACGGGCAGCCGGCCUGAGAGGGUUACCGGCCACAUUGGGACUGAGAUACGGCCCAGACUCCUACGGGAGGCAGCAGUGGGGAAUAUUGCACAAUGGGCGGAAGCCUGAUGCAGCAACGCCGCGUGCGGGAUGACGGCCUUCGGGUUGUAAACCGCUUUCGCCUGUGACGAAGCGUGAGUGACGGUAAUGGGUAAAGAAGCACCGGCUAACUACGUG